UCCAAGGAAUUGAAUGGCUCA
RNAcentral lists this non-coding RNA (21 nucleotides) under Arabidopsis thaliana (thale cress). The record is from RNAcentral. Lineage: Eukaryota; Viridiplantae; Streptophyta; Magnoliopsida; Brassicales; Brassicaceae.